GCCGAUGUGGUGAAAUUGGUAGACACGCACGUUUCAGAGGCGUGUGUCGCGAGACAUGCCGGUUCGACUCCGGCCAUCGGCA
RNAcentral lists this transfer RNA (82 nucleotides) under Sphingobacteriaceae bacterium. RNAcentral's name for it is "tRNA-Leu". It matches the Rfam family "tRNA". Rfam says of the family: Transfer RNA (tRNA) molecules are approximately 80 nucleotides in length. Their secondary structure includes four short double-helical elements and three loops (D, anti-codon, and T loops). Further hydrogen bonds mediate the characteristic L-shaped molecular structure. tRNAs have two regions of fundamental functional importance: the anti-codon, which is responsible for specific mRNA codon recognition, and the 3' end, to which the tRNAs corresponding amino acid is attached (by aminoacyl-tRNA synthetases). tRNAs cope with the degeneracy of the genetic code in two manners: having more than one tRNA (with a specific anti-codon) for a particular amino acid; and 'wobble' base-pairing, i.e. permitting non-standard base-pairing at the 3rd anti-codon position. Lineage: Bacteria; Pseudomonadati; Bacteroidota; Sphingobacteriia; Sphingobacteriales; Sphingobacteriaceae. The record is from RNAcentral.